UGGGCCGAAGGCAAGAUGCUCAACCACUGAGCCAACCAGGGAUUCCCAGUGACAUCUGUGCAGGAUGCAUGUUGAAGAUGAUGAUGAGCUAAAGUCAAGGAGCACCACCCAACCCAUAUCAACCAUUCACAUCUAUCAGGACCACACAUCUACGUUGAAGGCAAGGAACUGGGAAUAGUUUCUUCUUCUUUCCUGUUAUGUGUGCACCUCCCUUCAUUCCAAGUUGUAGUAUGCAGUAAAAUGACCAGAAAGGAGAAAAAGGAGGUUAUGGGACUGCUUAAAUCAUUGAACAACAGGAUCACUGACUGUGUCCAAAAAGGUCUCAGCCACGCCAAGCAGUGGAAAAGGUGAAAUGUUAACAUGAAUGCAGUAAAUAUUCAGUCCCUAUUUGGAGGAUCUUGGGGAAAAAGGAGAGUGUUGUGUUGGGAAUGACUGGCAGGUAAAUGUCUUCAGGGGCCUACCACAUCACAGAAGACUAUGUCUGGAGGAGAAGGUAUGCCUGACAUCCUUUCCAAUAAAAACCCUGGGAAAAACAUCCGUCAAGUGAUAUUUAGAACUGACAUUUUCAUAAGGAUCCAGUCUAUAGAGGGUUUUUGCAGGGCUUGGAAAACCACGUUUUUCAUUCUUUCUUCUCCUCAUCUUCUGUAAUUAAACAGAGUUUACAGUGUUAAAUGUAUAUUUAAAAAUGACAUGCUUUAAGGACUACAUUUUAGAAAGCUUUUUAUUUGGGAAUAAUUUUGACAAUAAUAAUGAUCAUUUCAAAAAGUAAUAUUUAUUUCCUGAACCUUUUGAGAGUAAGUUAGGUGCACAUCUCAUGGCUCUUUAUUCCUAAAUGUUUCCUAUUUCUUCCUAAAGGUACCACAAGCUGGGGUCUUAGACACAGAGGGAGGCUCAAUAUCUGGCACUGAGUUUUGGGAAAUGGAAGCCCAGAUUCUCCAUUUAUUCUCCAGCAAUUAGGAUAUUCCUGAAGAGGCAUGUUGGCUGAAAGAUGCUCACAUAGAAUGACAUAGAGAGAUGUCACCUUCAUUGCCAGAGGCACUGCUCUGUCUAAUGUUUUCACAUUCUGCUUGGAUGAAGAAAUAGAAGGGACAUUUGCCCUAGUGUUCAGGGAUCCUUAUUGGGCAGAGGUGGCUAACACAGUCUCCAGGUCAGAAAAGAUCUUGAUAACCUGGACCUUUACUGGAUUGAAUAUAGCAUGUACAUUAUAGGGGUGCCUGGAUGGCUCAGUCAGUUAAGCAUCUGCCUUUGCCUCAGAUCACAAUCUCGGGGUCUUGGGAUCGAGCCUCGUGUUGGGCUUUCUACUCAGCAGGGAGUCUGCUUCUCCCUCUCACUCUGUGCUCUCUCCUCCCUAUUUUGAGUAAAUAAAAAAAUCUGUAAAAAAAAAAUAAAGUGUACAUUAUAGAAGCACAAAAUUACUACUGUAUUAUUUCCUUGGUUCUAAGAGACUUUUCACUACCUUUUCUUGUUUCUGAACUUUAGAUGCCCCUAAAAUCUAUGUCAAAGGCAACUAACAGUGUAAUAGUUAAGGGAGUUGUAAAUAGAAAGCCUACCUGCACGGAAGUGCAGGUCCAAUUGAUUUUGCCACCUAGAUUUUCUCCACCAUUGGUUGCAACAUACAGGAAUACGUUUCUUUCGAGGUAUACGUACACUAAGGUGUAUCCUUCUUAUUGUGCCGUUCUAGGAGUUUCAACAAAUACAAUCAUGUGACUGAUACCAAAAUCAACACACAGAACAGCUACAUCCCUAAAAGUUUCUCUUGUAGCAAACCUUUAUAGCCAAAUCUCUCCCAUGCACUUUGUUUUGUAUCCAGUUAGUUUGGUCUUUUCCAGAAUGCCAUAGAAAUGCAAAAUAUAAAUAUUUAAUUAUAUUGUAUAUAGACUUCCUGAGUCUGGAUUCUUUUACUUAGGGAAUGCAUGUGAAAUUAACCCAUACUGUUGUAUGUAUUAAUAGUCUGCUCCUUUUUAUUGCUGAGUUGUAUUCCGUUGCACAGACAUCUUGUACAAUGUUCACCUGUUCAACAUUUAGUGGACAUGUAUCCUAAUUUCAGGUUUUGGUUAUUAUGAAUAAAACCAUUAUCAACAUUCACGUCCAA
Canis lupus familiaris (dog) is the source of this 2092-nucleotide long non-coding RNA. RefSeq lists it as uncharacterized. Lineage: Eukaryota; Metazoa; Chordata; Mammalia; Carnivora; Canidae. The record is from RefSeq and is a predicted model, not a curated record. The transcript has 3 exons.